RNAcentral lists this unclassified non-coding RNA (352 nucleotides) under soil metagenome. RNAcentral describes it as "partial contains 5.8S ribosomal RNA, internal transcribed spacer 2, and large subunit ribosomal RNA". The stretch from base 1 to 120 matches the Rfam family "5.8S ribosomal RNA", at positions 35 to 154 of the family's 154-position model. The record is from RNAcentral.
GAUGAAGAACGCAGCGAAAUGCGAUAAGUAGUGUGAAUUGCAGAAUUCAGUGAAUCAUCGAAUCUUUGAACGCACAUUGCGCCCCUUGGUAUUCCAUGGGGCAUGCCUGUUCGAGCGUCAUUUGUACCUUCAAGCCCUCCUUCGGGAUGGGCCUGGUGUUGGGGCUCGGCCGCCAUCUCCGGCGGCCGUCCCCUAAAUACAGUGGCGGUCACGUCGCGACUCCUUUGCGUAGUAGAAACACCUCGCUCCGGAUAGCAACGCGGUCCACGCCGUAAAACCCCCAAUUUUCAAUGGUUGACCUCGGAUCAGGUGGGAAUACCCGCUGAACUUAAGCAUAUCAAUAAGCGGAGGA